GUGCUUGUUUCGGCAGCACAUAUACUAAAAUUAGAAUGAUACAGAGAAGAUUAGCAUGGCCCCUGCUCAAGGAUGACAUGCAAAUUCAUGAAGCGCUCCAUAUAUUU
Small nuclear RNA from Choloepus didactylus (southern two-toed sloth), 107 nucleotides. The record is from RefSeq and is a predicted model, not a curated record. Lineage: Eukaryota; Metazoa; Chordata; Mammalia; Pilosa; Megalonychidae.